RNAcentral lists this ribosomal RNA (790 nucleotides) under Allomonas enterica. Its description in RNAcentral is "bacterial SSU rRNA". It matches the Rfam family "Bacterial small subunit ribosomal RNA", at positions 1 to 788 of the family's 1533-position model. Lineage: Bacteria; Pseudomonadati; Pseudomonadota; Gammaproteobacteria; Vibrionales; Vibrionaceae. The record is from RNAcentral.
GUGAUCUUACAGGUUAACUACACAUGCAACUCGAAGCUGGCAGCGACAACAUUGUAACCUUCGGGGGGUUUGUUGGGCGGCGAGCGGCAGCACGCGCGAUGAGUAAUGCCUGGGAAAUUGCCUCUGCAUGUGGGGGAUAACGUAUUGAGAAACGAUGGCUAAUACCGCAUGUUAGCUUCGGCUCAAAGAGGGGGACCUUCGGGCCUCUCGCGUCAGGAUAUGCCCAGGUGGGAUUAGCUAGUUGGUGAGGUAAGGGCUCACCAAGGCGACGAUCCCUAGCUGGUCUGAGAGGAUGAUCAGCCACACUGGAACUGAGACACGGUCCAGACUCCUACGGGAGGCAGCAGUGGGGAAUAUUGCACAAUGGGCGCAAGCCUGAUGCAGCCAUGCCGCGUGUAUGAAGAAGGCCUUCGGGUUGUAAAGUACUUUCAGCAGUGAGGAAGGAGGUGUCGUUAAUAGCGGUAUCUUUUGACGUUAGCUGCAGAAGAAGCACCGGCUAACUCCGUGCCAGCAGCCGCGGUAAUACGGAGGGUGCGAGCGUUAAUCGGAAUUACUGGGCGUAAAGCGCAUGCAGGUGGUUUGUUAAGUCAGAUGUGAAAGCCCGGGGCUCAACCUCGGAAUUGCAUUUGAAACUGGCAGGCUAGAGUACUGUAGAGGGGGGUAGAAUUUCAGGUGUAGCGGUGAAAUGCGUAGAGAUCUGAAGGAAUACCGGUGGCGAAGGCGGCCCCCUGGGACAGAUACUGACACUCAGAUGCGAAAGCGUGGGGGAGCAUACAUGAUUAGAUACCCU